RNAcentral lists this long non-coding RNA (2490 nucleotides) under Mus musculus (house mouse). Its description in RNAcentral is "long non-coding RNA chr11:23338764-23341254". Lineage: Eukaryota; Metazoa; Chordata; Mammalia; Rodentia; Muridae. The record is from RNAcentral.
UGCCUCCCAAGUGCUGGGAUUAAAGGCAUGUGCCACCACCGCCCGGCUGUGUCUAUUGUUAUAGCUGCCUGAUUAUACUCAACUGGGAGGGACAACAUAAUAUGACCUGAUUUCCCCCCAAAAAGGAUGUGUGUGUAUGAUAUUUCAUUUGCAUGUACAUAUAAUAUAUAGUACAUGAUAUAUUUUGGUAGUUUAUAUAUAUAUUAUAACAUUAUAUAUGCAGUGUAUGCAUACUUAGUGUCUGGAGGCCAGGAUAGGGCACUGGAUUCCCUGGAACUGGAGUUACAGCUAGUGUUAGGUACCACAUGGGUACUAGGAACCAAAUCUUGGCCAUCACAGCAGGCUCUUCUUUUUAUAAUGUUUUUUUCAAAACAGGGUUUCUCUGUAGUCCUUGUUGACCUGGAACUCGGCCUUGAACUCAAAGAUCCUCCUGCUUCUGCCUCAGUGCUGUUACACACCAUCACUUGGCAAUAGCAGUUACUUUUAUUUUAAGUGCAUUGGUAUUUUGCCUGCAUGUAUGUCUGUGUGAAGAUGUCAGAUCUUUGAGUUACAGUCAGUAGUGAGCUGCCAUGUGGUUGCUGGGAAUUAAACCCUGAUCCUCUGGAAGAACAGUUAGUGCUCUUAACUGUUGAAGCGCCUCUCCAGUUCCAACAGCAAGUACUCUUAAGCUGAGCUGUCUCUUCAGUCCCCCAAGCCUUGGGGCUGGAUGUUGUGCACCAUACCUUUAAUCUCAGUACUUGGGAAGCAGGGGAUUGCCUGGGCUACAUAGUGAGUUCUAGGACAUCUAGGACUCUAACUCAAGCAAAAGAAAAUUUGUAGAGCGGAGAGAGGGAGCAAUACUUUUUGUUUAGUGUAUGUAUUUAUGUUAUGGUGAGACAGACAGUGUGCAUGUAUCUUGACAGUUUGAAGUCUUGGUUCAUCUUCUACCUUUUUAAAGGAGAAUUUUGUGUAGCUCAGGCUGUCUUUGAAUUCACUAUGUGACACAGAUAACCUUGAACUCAAGUUUCUGGUAUCUUUUUGCUAACUGCUAUUUUGGGGGGGUGCCCUUUUUUUUUAAAAAGUUGCUUUUUGUGAAGAGAGGCUAUUAUUGUAUGCCUUUGGUAGUUUAGAACUUAAAGUAGUUCAGCAACCUUCAGUUUAGGGCAACUCUCCUACCCUUGAAGAUCACUGAUAUAUUAGGCCAUGAGCCUUAUUAAAUUUAGAGAAAAAAUAUAUACACAUACAUAGCAUGCACAUUGUCCUGAUUUGAUUCUACUUUAUAACCUGGGUGUGGUGUUUCAUGGUCCUAGUUUUGGGGAGAUGGCGGUUCAGGAAUUUAAGGUUACACUUGAUUGUAUAGUGAGCUCGAGGCCUUCAUGGAGACUGUUUCUCAAAAAAACAAAUUACCCCCUCAAAACUGGAUAUGAUGGCAUAUUCUGAGGCUAUCUAAAGCUGCAGAGUGGGAUCUUGUCAUAAAGUAAGUUUUUAAAAAGUAUUGCAUGCUAUUAUUUUGUCUAGUGUGUGUAUAUAUGUAUGUAUGUUGCCUGCUGUUAUUUUGUCUAGUAUGUGUAUGUAUGCAUGUGCCUGUGUAUGUGUUUUCAAGAGUCCCCUGAGGUUAGAGGAGACUUUUAGGACUCAGUUCCUACUUCUACCAUGAGGAGUCCGAAGAUUGAACUCAAGUUGUCAGUCUUGGCAGCAAGCACCUUCUGAGAAAUCAUUUAAGAUCUUUAACUUGUUUUUAGUGUUGUCCCAGAAUUAUAGAACUACUGUGAAUUUAAGGACUCCUGACUUUGAGCACACCUUUAGUUCUGGGUAACUUCAUGUUCCCUAUGGCUCAGUUACUGAGCAGUAUUUGCUAUUAGAGAAUUACUUCACUCUAGUUUUGUUUGGUUCUAAAAUGUGGUAUAAUUUUAUUUGCUAAACAUAGAGCUUACAGUAUAAUCCUACUCUGGGCUUGACUCUGUACCUACUCACGGGGAAGGAGCAGGCAGAGUCAUAAGCAGGACUAGGAAGACAGUUGCUCUGGUCUCUGUGGAACUAGGCCAUAAGGAUCCUGUUGUACAUAAGGGUAGAAAUCUUUUCAGAGUUUCUGUAUUUGUGUUCUGCACUAGUAUUCCAGCAUGGUUCUUAGUCAGUGACUUGGUACUUUAAUGGUACCACAGGAGUUCUGAAACUCUGGAAGUUUUCCUGGAACCCACAGCUUUAAAUAUGCUCAGCAUGUGCUCUGUCACUGAACUACAUCCUUAACUAUAGACAUUUUGUGGAGAGUAAUUUGAGGCUCUGGUAUUAGAAAGUUAAAAACUAUUAGAUUUAGUAUACCUGUUUUGCAAAAUGUUUUUACUUGUUAGGUAAGUUUAAUUCAAUUGCAGUGUUCUGAGAGUGCUGAUUUGCCAGUCAUUUUCAGAUUCAUUUAACAAUUCAUCUUUAUGUAAAACAAGUAAUGGCAAAGAAUGAAUACAUGAGUUCUCUUGGUAUUGCUUUCAGAUGAGUGUAUGUAUGGCGCUACAAAUU